UACUAUAGCUUGACACUGAACAUUGAGCCUUGAUGUGUAGGAUAGGUGGGAGGCUUUGAAGUGUGGACGCCAGUCUGCAUGGAGCCGACCUUGAAAUACCACCCUUUAAUGUUUGAUGUUCUAACGUGGACCCGUGAUCCGGGUUGCGGACAGUGUCUGGUGGGUAGUUUGACUGGGGCGGUCUCCUCCUAAAGAGUAACGGAGGAGCACGAAGGUUGGCUAAUCCUGGUCGGACAUCAGGAGGUUAGUGCAAUGGCAUAAGCCAGCUUGACUGCGAGCGUGACGGCGCGAGCAGGUGCGAAAGCAGGUCAUAGUGAUCCGGUGGUUCUGAAUGGAAGGGCCAUCGCUCAACGGAUAAAAGGUACUCCGGGGAUAACAGGCUGAUACCGCCCAAGAGUUCAUAUCGACGGCGGUGUUUGGCACCUCGAUGUCGGCUCAUCACAUCCUGGGGCUGAAGUAGGUCCCAAGGGUAUGGCUGUUCGCCAUUUAAAGUGGUACGCGAGCUGGGUUUAGAACGUCGUGAGACAGUUCGGUCCCUAUCUGCCGUGGGCGCUGGAGAACUGAGGGGGGCUGCUCCUAGUACGAGAGGACCGGAGUGGACGCAUCACUGGUGUUCGGGUUGUCAUGCCAAUGGCACUGCCCGGUAGCUAAAUGCGGAAGAGAUAAGUGCUGAAAGCAUCUAAGCACGAAACUUGCCCCGAGAUGAGUUCUCCCUGACUCCUUGAGAGUCCUGAAGGAACGUUGAAGACGACGACGUUGAUAGGCCGGGUGUGUAAGCGCAGCGAUGCGUUGAGCUAACCGGUACUAAUGAACCGUGAGGCUUAACCUUACAACGCCGAAGGUGUUU
Molecule: ribosomal RNA, 847 nt
Filed under: Escherichia coli
Lineage: Bacteria; Pseudomonadati; Pseudomonadota; Gammaproteobacteria; Enterobacterales; Enterobacteriaceae
Description: partial 23S ribosomal RNA
Rfam family: Bacterial large subunit ribosomal RNA
Source: RNAcentral